CAUCGCUGAAUCAAAUUUCUAGAUAUGAUAACAGAUAUGAAAACUAGAACAAGUUUAGAAAAAGAGGGAGAAAAACAGAAGACAUAGUCAAGCGUGAAAGACAACCUCAGGAGCAAGAUCGGUCGAAUCGGAUUAGGAUGAUGAUGUUUCUUGCACGCGAGGGAGGGGCACCUGAGAGACAAAAGCCGACGAAAACACUUUGGAAACUGGGACAUCUGGUCACCUUCGGGUCAGAUCUUCAGGUCCUCCGGUCCGAGGAAGCCUGGACUCGCGACGCUCGUUCGAGGUCGUCACUGGGCGAACGCACGGAGCGAGGAUGGUUGUUAGUGGAGGCAUCGAGCAUGCAUUUAACAGUACUCCGGACGGGCCGGUGCGGCGGCGGUGGUUCGCUGAUUCCCUGGGUUUCCGAGGCCCCUUCUUGUCGGGAGGACGAGCUGCGCCCGGCUGGACAUCGGGGGAAAGGAAUCCUCCGCGUGCCCCGACUUGGUGCACGCGCUUCAGUCCAUCGAGGGCCUUCGUCAAAAUUGCAUCCCUCUCUGGCCACCGGCGGUUAGUUCUCCAGUUCGAAAGUGUCUCGAGUGUCUCUAAGGUGAACACCUUACGUGUUAACGAGGAGAGUAAGAAAGAGGAACAGAGAGCCUGACGAGAUCAUGUGGAGAAUCCUGAUCGCAGGAUUUUGCACGGUUGCCGCCACCGUUGCCCAGGAUUACGAGGUCUCGGACAUUCAGUGCAGCGGCGCGGGAUCGGCGGCCGAUCUUCUAACAGCGAAGAUCAAAAGACCGGUUGGCUUCAGAGGCACCCCGCUCUUCGCUGACGACAGAUCAGCGAAUCCACUCGCCGACAUUCACUGCCAGAUCAGACCCGACCCGAAUGAUCCGCAGGAGGAUAACUACUUCCUGAAGGUGACUGACUUCUCCCGAUGCGGUAUCCUCAAGAGAAACGUGAGUCAUCGAUCGAGAGUUACGCGGAACUGAUUCUUUGUAUGAUAUUUGCGUUCCAUUCUGCUGGCCGACCAGGAGCUGAUCUUGAUGUGCCGGCCGCCCGAGCCGACGCUGCUCAGGCAUAAGGCUGCUGGCUUCGCCGGCACUUUUCCGCACGGCGCCAGGGUAUCCGGGGUUGUGGAGGAGACGCCGGGUCGACUCGAGUACGAAGUAGCUCUUUAUCGAGAGGCGACCGGCAACGUGUCCGAUAGCUCGCAGACGGUCGACCAGGCGGUUCCGAUCGGCACCAAACUGCAGCUGCGCGCCCGCAUCAGUGCGGACAGCGCAUGGGGCUACAUCAAGUUGUUGGAGGUGACCGUCAGUCCGGACCCGGAUCAGCCCCAUGCUCCCGGUAGCGUCGUACUCGUCAAGGAUGGCUGCAGGAAUCGCGAUUUCGCGUCCAUCAUCCCGCAUCAACCGGCGAGGUAUCGCGAGCGCAAAAAUGAGGUCUUCCUCGACUUCGAGGCCUUCUUGCUAAGUUCAAUGAGGGAGCGCUCCACCCUCUGGAUUCACUCCCAGAUAAAGGCGUGCAUGGAACCGCAGGACUGUCAACCGGAUUUCUGUCUCGAUCUCUUCGAACCCUCGGGACAUGGAAGAAAGAAAAAAAGAGCGGUCGAGGCGAGUGUAGAAGCAUCGGGUGAGUUUCUCCCAAAAGUCGAGCGUUUGAUCAAAAGGUAUAACGAUUCCACGCAAUAUACAAAGUUCAAGGAGAACAUUGAAUAUACGGUGAUGAUGCCAGAUGACUUGUAUGACAAAGUAGCAGCCGGCCUCGAAGGUAGCUGCGGAAAUUUCCUUUACGUGGCAACGGGAUUGGGCGCUCUACUAGUGUUAUCAGCCUUUAUCAUGUGCUACCUAGCAUCGCGUCUUCACAAUCUCUCCUCGACGAUGCAGCAGAGCAAAUCUAUCGACGAGUUGGUCAGAGAUCGCACUAGAAAAUAUUGCGACACCACGCCUGGCUACACCGGUCGUUCGACGAUGCAAUAGAUUCGGAGAGAAAAAAAAAUUCGAAAAUAGUACUUUGUCGCGCAAUAAAUAUACUUUUCGCGAAAUAUACAUCAAGUUACAAUGUAACGCGUAACGUAUAAUUCAUGCAACGUUACAACGAUACUUGGCAACUGGAAUGACAGAUAUUUAUUCGCGACAGGGAAUACGUUAUAUUUGUAAGCCACAUUUUUUUCUACAAGAGGGCAAAAAUACUUGUCCUAUUUCAAAGAUAAGAGAGAUGCGAGAGAUGUAUUUUAAUGUUUCGUUAAUAAUUACGUUGCAUUGCAAUUUAUCGUAAUUAUCGAUAUUAGUAUUGAGAAAUAAUUAAUUCUCAUCGCGAGAAAGACUUUGACAGGGAUUCUCAAUAACGUUUGAACAAGUGAACAACAUCGCCCACUGAGGAAUAAAAAUAAUUCUCACGACGUUAGAAUGCUCGAAAAUUCUCGUGGUGGCAAACGAGAAUAUUUUCCAUAUAAAAUAGAAUCAAUUCGCAUUAACGAGACAUGAGCGAAGAUAAAUUGCAAAUUUAUAAAAGAAAUUUAUAUCGCCAAAUUUGGAGUUAUGCCGAUGGAACAUCGUUUGCUACUUUGCAAUGUAGAUAUGAUAGUCACGCUACACGUGUUUAUAUUUUAUGAGGAAGCACAGUUUUAAACCGCUUAACACAGUUUUUCUAUAUGAAUACAAAUGCAAACAGUCUAUUUUUUGCCCAAUUCUUCAU
RNA transcript from Camponotus floridanus (Florida carpenter ant), 2682 nucleotides. RefSeq lists it as uncharacterized. The record is from RefSeq and is a predicted model, not a curated record. The transcript is spliced from 6 exons. NCBI's taxonomy places the organism in Eukaryota, Metazoa, Arthropoda, Insecta, Hymenoptera, Formicidae.